GACGAACGCUGGCGGCGUGCUUAACACAUGCAAGUCGAACGGAAAGGCCCUGCUUUUGUGGGGUACUCGAGUGGCGAACGGGUGAGUAACACGUGAGUAACCUGCCCUUGACUUUGGGAUAACUUCAGGAAACUGGGGCUAAUACCGGAUAGGAGCUCCUGCUGCAUGGUGGGGGUUGGAAAGUUUCGGCGGUUGGGGAUGGACCCGCGGCUUAUCAGCUUGUUGGUGGGGUAGUGGCUUACCAAGGCUUUGACGGGUAGCCGGCCUGAGAGGGUGAACGGCCACAUUGGGACUGAGACACGGCCCAGACUCCUACGGGAGGCAGCAGUGGGGAAUAUUGCACAAUGGGCGGAAGCCUGAUGCAGCAACGCCGCGUGCGGGAUGACGGCCUUCGGGUUGUAAACCGCUUUCACCAGUGACGAAGCGUUAGUGACGGUAGUGGGUAAAGAAGCACCGGCUAACUACGUG
RNAcentral lists this ribosomal RNA (468 nucleotides) under uncultured bacterium. RNAcentral describes it as "partial 16S ribosomal RNA". It matches the Rfam family "Bacterial small subunit ribosomal RNA", at positions 28 to 507 of the family's 1533-position model. The record is from RNAcentral.